RNAcentral lists this ribosomal RNA (255 nucleotides) under uncultured bacterium. RNAcentral's name for it is "partial 16S ribosomal RNA". It matches the Rfam family "Bacterial small subunit ribosomal RNA", at positions 524 to 776 of the family's 1533-position model. The record is from RNAcentral.
UACAGAGGUCCCAAGCGUUGUUCGGAUUCACUGGGCGUAAAGGGUGCGUAGGUGGCAUGUUAAGUUUGAUGUGAAAGCUCAGGGCUCAACCCUGAAAUGGCAUUGAAUACUAGCGUGCUGGAGGUUUGGAGGGGGGGACUGGAAUUCUUGGUGUAGCAGUGAAAAUGCGUAGAUAUCAAGAGGAACACCAGUGGCGAAGGCGAGUCCCUGGACGAUACCUGACACUGAGGCACGAAAGCUAGGGGAGCAAACAGG